Molecule: unclassified non-coding RNA, 742 nt
Filed under: Hevea brasiliensis (rubber tree)
Lineage: Eukaryota; Viridiplantae; Streptophyta; Magnoliopsida; Malpighiales; Euphorbiaceae
Source: RNAcentral
UUUUGUUGUUGUUGAAGAAAAUUUUAAAAAAAAUUUAAAAAAAAUGGAAGGAACAAAAAAAACUAGCAGUUCUUCAUUUACUUCUGAUCUUUUUGGUUCUAAAGAAACUUCAGCUUCUUCAUCUUCUGCAAUUUUUGGUUCCAUUUUCCCUCCUCCUUCCAAGGGACAUGGAUCGAUGAAUUCGGAGCAAUUGAAGCAUGAUCCUGUGAUUCAGGAAAGAAAUGCUAAAGGUGGAUACUCAGGAAGUACUCCUACUAGCAAUGAAGCUGCCAGCCAGCAGGCUGCACAAAACAAGCAGCCGAGUUCAUUUUAUCAGAAUGAAAAAGUACAGCCAUGCCAUCUUAGCUCAUCGAUAUACUACGGGGGCCAAGAUGUCUAUUCAUUUCCUCAAAACAAUAAUCAGAGCUCUACAUGCACAACUUUCAACAAAGAUAACGGUGAAGAUGAUUCUGGCAGUGCGUCUCGAGGAAACUGGUGGCAAGGGUCUCUUUACUACUAGAGCUCACCAUCAAUGACAUGGAUGUUACAUAUACUCAAAAGGAAGUUAAAUAUAUAUAGAGAAGCAGUUAUCUACCACAAAUAUUAAAGAUGGAUGAUUACUAGUAAUUAGCCAAGUAGACAAGUAGUUUGGUUGAACACUACAUAUAAUGAUAUUUAGUAUAUGUAAUUGGUAGUUAAUUAGUGUUUAUUUUACUCUUACAUGUAAAGGAUUAUAGACCUUGUGCACUCUGCUUUAUAAUGC